CAGGGGCCGCACCCCGCGCCGCGGCCAGCAGCGCUACUCCCGCCUGCCACCGGCUUUGGUGUCACAAUGGCAGGUCGAACCUAGCGAGACAGUCCUGGGUGACGCGACCCGAGAACGUAACUCAGGAAAUGGGAAGAUGCAUCUGCAUAGCACCUGCUUGAAAUCAGCUGUGCUGGGGCAGUCAGGAGCUGCUCAUCAGAGCCCAGGCCCGCGGCCCACACAGGAACCUUCCCCACCAGGGGCACACCGGGACGGGGAAGCCUACCCCAGCUGCUCUCACCGGGGGAGACCUGGACCCAGCGGGCAGCACUGAAACAGCGUCCCGCCUCCCACUGACCUCCAGAUAGUACAUGUCCAACGCCGUCAACUGCGACUCCAGAAAAAAUGCACCCAACAAAUGGAGCACAAGCAGGGCCGGCAGCUCAGCACGCAUCACCCCAGUCCCUGUAGUUCCUUUCUCAGCCCCGCACAGACUUGCACUUCCUUUGAAGAUGGCAGUUUUUUGAAAAGGAACUUGGGAAUCUCCUUAAUUUGUUUCAUUUCCUGCUUUUUCUUCCCAGCACCACAGUUAUGUCAGGUAGGAAAACGACAACAACAAACAAACAAAAUAAUAAUAAUAAAAAAAAGAAAGAACAAAACAAACAAACAAAAAAAAAAAACACAAAACACCAAUAUACCACCAUGCCAGCCCCCAAAUUCUCAAAAUACGAGGUGUUUCAGGCAGUUUUUCCACCACUGGGUGAUAAGCUUAAUUUGGAGUUACUCCCUUUGGGAGGCAACAUGCAAACAGUGCACCCUGUGGUGGACACCAGCCCUGCCUGUCCAGAGAAAUGCAUGGCAGAGCAAGCUGGCUGGUGUAAAACACCACCUUUGCAGAGCAAAAAAGAAAGUCAGGUGCUCCUGGGAGACUUUAUAUUUGUUUUAACACUUGCUAAUGUCACGCUUUGAGGUGCAUUUACAGAGG
This is a long non-coding RNA of Columba livia (rock pigeon), 964 nucleotides long. RefSeq lists it as uncharacterized. The transcript is spliced from 3 exons. The record is from RefSeq and is a predicted model, not a curated record. Lineage: Eukaryota; Metazoa; Chordata; Aves; Columbiformes; Columbidae.